RNAcentral lists this ribosomal RNA (466 nucleotides) under uncultured bacterium. Its description in RNAcentral is "partial 16S ribosomal RNA". It matches the Rfam family "Bacterial small subunit ribosomal RNA", at positions 339 to 795 of the family's 1533-position model. The record is from RNAcentral.
CUACGGGGGGCAGCAGUGGGGAAUAUUGCGCAAUGGGCGAAAGCCUGACGCAGCGACGCCGCGUGGGUGAUGAAGGUUUUCGGAUCGUAAAGCCCUGUCGGAGAGGGAAGAACAACUUAUGAGUUAAUACCUCAUAGGCCUGACGGUACCUCUUCAGAAAGCACCGGCUAACUCCGUGCCAGCAGCCGCGGUAAUACGGAGGGUGCUAACGUUGUUCGGAAUCACUGGGCGUAAAGCGCGUGUAGGCGGCACGGUAAGUCAGAUGUGAAAUCCCUCGGCUCAACCGAGGAAGUGCAUUUGAAACUGCCGAGCUAGAGUACGGGAGAGGGCUGUAGAAUUCCCGGUGUAGAGGUGAAAUUCGUAGAUAUCGGGAGGAAUACCGGUGGCGAAGGCGGCAGCCUGGACCGAUACUGACGCUGAGACGCGAAAGCGUGGGGAGCAAACAGGAUUAGAUACCCGAGUAGUC